RNAcentral lists this ribosomal RNA (1420 nucleotides) under Rhodococcus sp. 'Iso St 1'. Its description in RNAcentral is "16S ribosomal RNA". It matches the Rfam family "Bacterial small subunit ribosomal RNA". Lineage: Bacteria; Bacillati; Actinomycetota; Actinomycetes; Mycobacteriales; Nocardiaceae. The record is from RNAcentral.
AGUCGAGCGGUAAGGCCUUUCGGGGUACACGAGCGGCGAACGGGUGAGUAACACGUGGGUGAUCUGCCCUGCACUUCGGGAUAAGCCUGGGAAACUGGGUCUAAUACCGGAUAUGACUCUCCAGUGUGCCAAGACGUGGGGUGGAAAGACUUAUCGGUGCAAGAUGGGCCCGCGGCCUAUCAGCUUGUUGGUGGGGUAAUGGCCUAACAAGGCGACGAUCGGGUAGCCGACCUGAGAGGGUGACCGGCCACACUGGGACUGAAACACGGCCCAAACUCCUACGGGAGGCAGCAGUGGGGAAUAUUGCAUCAAUCGGCGAAAGCCUGAUGCAGCGACGCCGCGUGAGGGAUGACGACCUUCGGGUUGUAAACCUCUUUCAGCAGGGACGAAGCGCAAGUGACGGUACCUGCAGAAGAAGCACCGACUAACUACGUGCCAGCAGCCGCGGUAAUACGUAGGGUGCAAGCGUUGUCCGGAAUUACUGGGCGUAAAGAGUUCGUAGGCGGUUUGUCGCGUCGUUUGUGAAAACCAGCAGCUCAACUGCUGGCUUGCAGGCGAUACGGGCAGACUUGAGUACUGCAGGGGAGACUGGAAUUCCUGGUGUAGCGGUGAAAUGCGCAGAUAUCAGGAGGAACACCGGUGGCGAAGGCGGGUCUCUGGGCAGUAACUGACGCUGAGGAACGAAAGCGUGGGUAGCGAACAGGAUUAGAUACCCUGGUAGUCCACGCCGUAAACGGUGGGCGCUAGGUGUGGGUUCCUUCCACGGAAUCCGUGCCGUAGCUAACGCAUUAAGCGCCCCGCCUGGGGAGUACGGCCGCAAGGCUAAAACUCAAAGGAAUUGACGGGGGCCCGCACAAGCGGCGGAGCAUGUGGAUUAAUUCGAUGCACAAAGAAGAACCACACCCGGAUCUGACAUAUACCGGAAACCUGCAGAGACGUGCCCCCCCUCGUGGUCGGCAUACAGGUGGUGCAAGGCUGUCGUCAGCUCGUGUCACCCGUGAGAUGUUGGAGCUAAGUCCCGCAACGUAAGCCCAACCCGCCAUCCUACCUUGACGCAGCAACUUAUGGUCCGGAAUCGUAACAGACUGCCGCGGUCAACUAGCAGGAAGGCCGGGACGUAAGCCAAGUCAUCAUGCACCUAAUGGUCCAGGCGUUCAACACGCCCUACAAUGGCCCAGUUACAGACGAAGGCUUGACCAGAUCCGUGGAGGUGAAGCCACCCAUAGACCCUCAUCACGUCCGAUCGGAGUCUGCACCUGGACCCAGUGAAAGUCGGAAGUCGAUAGUAUAUCGCACGAAUCAGAAUACCGUUGCGGUUAAUACGUUCCCGGGCCUUGCACACACCUCCCGUCGGGUCAUGAAAGUCGGUAACACCUCAAGCCGGUGGGUUAACCCCGCGUGGGAGGGAGCCUUCCAAGGU